This 369-nucleotide ribosomal RNA is filed under the name Pleurodeles waltl (Iberian ribbed newt). Its description in RNAcentral is "partial 12S ribosomal RNA". It matches the Rfam family "Bacterial small subunit ribosomal RNA", at positions 794 to 1384 of the family's 1533-position model. Lineage: Eukaryota; Metazoa; Chordata; Amphibia; Caudata; Salamandridae. The record is from RNAcentral.
GCCUAACCGUAAACUUUGACUUAUCCGCCAGAGUACUACGAGCAACAGCUUAAAACUCAAAGGACUUGGCGGUGCUCUAUACCCCCCUAGAGGAGCCUGUUCUGUAAUCGAUAAUCCCCGAUAAACCUCACCAUCUAUUGCCAAUACAGCCUAUAUACCACCGUCCAGCCCGCCCUUUGAAGGCUAAAAAGCAGGCAUAAAUAUAACCAUAAAAACGUCAGGUCAAGGUGUAGCUAAUAAGAUGGGAAGAAAUGGGCUACAUUUUCUAACCUAGAAUACACGAAAAAGUUUUUGAAACAAAACUUCGAAGGAGGAUUUAGCAGUAAAAAGAAAGAAGAGUGUUCUUUUUAAGCCGGCAAUGGAGCGCGC